GACGGGGGCCCGCACAAGCGGUGGAGUAUGCGGUUUAAUUCGAUGAUACGCGAGAAACCUUACCUGGUCUUGACAUGUAGAGAAGUUCUAGAGAUAGAAUGUGCCUGCUUGCAGGAGCUCUAACACAGGUGGUGCAUGGUUGUCGUCAGCUCGUGUCGUGAGAUGUUGGGUUAAGUCCCGCAACGAGCGCAACCCUUGUUGCUAGUUACCAGCACGUAAUGGUGGGGACUCUAGCGGGACUGCCGGUGUUAAACCGGAGGAAGGUGGGGAUGACGUCAAGUCCUCAUGGCCUUUAUGACCAGGGCUACACACGUACUACAAUGGCCGAUACAAAGGGCAGCGACACUGCGAGGUGAAGCCAAUCCCGUAAAAUCGGUCUCAGUCCGGAUUGGAGUCUGCAACUCGACUCCAUGAAGUUGGAAUCGCUAGUAAUCGUGGAUCAGCAUGCCACGGUGAAUACGUUCCCGGGCCUU
This 473-nucleotide ribosomal RNA is filed under the name uncultured Desulfobulbus sp. RNAcentral describes it as "bacterial SSU rRNA". It matches the Rfam family "Bacterial small subunit ribosomal RNA", at positions 912 to 1382 of the family's 1533-position model. The record is from RNAcentral. Lineage: Bacteria; Pseudomonadati; Thermodesulfobacteriota; Desulfobulbia; Desulfobulbales; Desulfobulbaceae.